GCCUGGGUGGCUCAGUUGGUUAAGCGUCUGACUUCAGCUCAGCUCAUAAUCUUGUAGUCUGUGGGUUCAAGCCCCACGUUGGGCU
RNAcentral lists this transfer RNA (85 nucleotides) under Felis catus (domestic cat). It matches the Rfam family "tRNA". From Rfam's summary of the family: Transfer RNA (tRNA) molecules are approximately 80 nucleotides in length. The record is from Rfam by way of RNAcentral. Lineage: Eukaryota; Metazoa; Chordata; Mammalia; Carnivora; Felidae.